Molecule: ribosomal RNA, 1149 nt
Filed under: uncultured eukaryote
Lineage: Eukaryota
Description: eukaryotic LSU rRNA
Rfam family: 5.8S ribosomal RNA (bases 703-856)
Source: RNAcentral
CCCCCCCGGGGUUUUUUCCCCCCUUUUUUUUUCUUUCGCGGGGUUGUUUUUUUUUGUUGGGGAAUUUGUGGGGGGGGGAUAAAAAUUUUUCCCCACCGGGAAACACAGCUUUUGAGCCCAAUGUUUUACCCCCCAGGUUUUUUUUGGGGGGCCCCCCUUUAAAAAAACUCCAAAGGUUUGGCCUCCAAACCGGGUUGGGGAAGUUUUUUCCCAAAGGGUUGGCCCCGCAGGGCGGCCGCGGAAUUUCACUUAGUGAUUUCUUGGUUCAUUUUGGAAGAAAGUAAAAGGUCGUUACCAAAGGUUUCCGGUUAGGUGAACCUUGCGGGAGGAAUCAUUUAAGGAAAUUUUAUUAAUUUUGAAAAUGGAUUUUUUUGUUUUGGCAGGAGCAUUGAGAGCUUUACUGGGCAAAGAAGACAAGAGAUGGAGAGUCCAGCCGGGCCUGCGCUUAAGUGCGCGGUCUUGCUAGGCUUGUAAGUUUCUUUCUUGCUAUUCCAAACGGUGAGAGAUUUCUGUGCUUUUGUUAUAGGACAAUUAAAACCGUUUCAAUACAACACACUGUGGAGUUUUCAUAUCUUUGCAACUUUUUCUUUGGGCAUUCGAGCAAUCGGGGCCCAGAGGUAACAAACACAAACAAUUUUAUCUAUUCAUUAAAUUUUUGUCAAAAACAAGAAUUUUCGUAACUGGAAAUUUUAAAAUAUUAAAAACUUUCAACAACGGAUCUCUUGGUUCUCGCAUCGAUGAAGAACGCAGCGAAAUGCGAUACGUAAUGUGAAUUGCAGAAUUCCGUGAAUCAUCGAAUCUUUGAACGCACAUUGCGCCCCUUGGUAUUCCAGGGGGCAUGCCUGUUUGAGCGUCAUUUCCUUCUCAAACAUUCUGUUUGGUAGUGAGUGAUACUCUUUGGAGUUAACUUGAAAUUGCUGGCCUUUUCAUUGGAUGUUUUUUUUCCAAAGAGAGGUUUCUCUGCGUGCUUGAGGUAUAAUGCAAGUACGGUCGUUUUAGGUUUUACCAACUGCGGCUAAUCUUUUUUUAUACUGAGCGUAUUGGAACGUUAUCGAUAAGAAGAGAGCGUCUAGGCGAACAAUGUUCUUAAGGUUUGACCUCAAACCAGGUAGGAGUACCCGCUGGACUUAAGCAUAUCAAUAAGCGGAG